UGCAAGUCGAACGAGUUCUCGUUGAUGAUCGGUGCUUGCACCGAGAUUCAACAUGGAACGAGUGGCGGACGGGUGAGUAACACGUGGGUAACCUGCCCUUAAGUGGGGGAUAACAUUUGGAAACAGAUGCUAAUACCGCAUAGAUCCAAGAACCGCAUGGUUCUUGGCUGAAAGAUGGCGUAAGCUAUCGCUUUUGGAUGGACCCGCGGCGUAUUAGCUAGUUGGUGAGGUAAUGGCUCACCAAGGCGAUGAUACGUAGCCGAACUGAGAGGUUGAUCGGCCACAUUGGGACUGAGACACGGCCCAAACUCCUACGGGAGGCAGCAGUAGGGAAUCUUCCACAAUGGACGCAAGUCUGAUGGAGCAACGCCGCGUGAGUGAAGAAGGCUUUCGGGUCGUAAAACUCUGUUGUUGGAGAAGAAUGGUCGGCAGAGUAACUGUUGUCGGCGUGACGGUAUCCAACCAGAAAGCCACGGCUAACUACGUGCCAGCAGCCGCGGUAAUACGUAGGUGGCAAGCGUUAUCCGGAUUUAUUGGGCGUAAAGCGAGCGCAGGCGGUUUUUUAAGUCUGAUGUGAAAGCCCUCGGCUUAACCGAGGAAGCGCAUCGGAAACUGGGAAACUUGAGUGCAGAAGAGGACAGUGGAACUCCAUGUGUAGCGGUGAAAUGCGUAGAUAUAUGGAAGAACACCAGUGGCGAAGGCGGCUGUCUGGUCUGUAACUGACGCUGAGGCUC
This 734-nucleotide ribosomal RNA is filed under the name Lactobacillus casei group sp. RNAcentral's name for it is "bacterial SSU rRNA". It matches the Rfam family "Bacterial small subunit ribosomal RNA", at positions 56 to 754 of the family's 1533-position model. The record is from RNAcentral. Lineage: Bacteria; Bacillati; Bacillota; Bacilli; Lactobacillales; Lactobacillaceae.